GACGAACGCUGGCGGCGCGCCUAACACAUGCAAGUCGAACGGAGCUGAGAGAAGCUUGCUUUUCUUAGCUUAGUGGCGAACGGGUGAGUAACGCGUGAGUACCCUCCCCUGGAGUGGGGGACAACAGUUGGAAACUACUUCUAAUACCGCAUAAGCCCACGAUCCGGCAUCUUUUUGAGGGAAAAGGAUUUAUUCGCUUCCGGAUGGACUCUCGUCCAAUUUGCUAGUUUGUGAGGUUACGGCCCACCAAGGCGACGAGUGGUCGCCGGACUGGGAGGUUGGACCAGCACACUGGGGCUGGGACACGGAGCGAACUCCUAGGAAAGGAAGGAGGGGGGGAUAAUGCACGACGGGGGAGAGCAUGAUGCAGCGGGGCCGCGUAGAGGAAGAAGGUGUGAGGAUUGUAAACGCCUGUCGAUAGGGACGAUAGUGACGGUACCUAACAAGAAAGCGCCGGCUAACUACGUG
RNAcentral lists this ribosomal RNA (468 nucleotides) under uncultured bacterium. Its description in RNAcentral is "partial 16S ribosomal RNA". It matches the Rfam family "Bacterial small subunit ribosomal RNA", at positions 28 to 507 of the family's 1533-position model. The record is from RNAcentral.